UGUAGUAACACAUUUAUUGAUCACUUUACCAACUAAAGAUAAAAUCUUAUACAGUCAGUAACAGCAGUAAUGUACUUUAUGAGAAGCUAUGCUUUAAAAAAUGGUGUUUACAAUAUGGGUUUCACUACAGAUUUUUCAAGCCAAGCUUUUACAGUGCUAAUCGAACAACUGCUGUACUUGAACUUUUUCCCUAAAACAUCAACAAUAACGUUGCAGACAAAGUAGCUUUUCCAUUGUUAAUGUGGGUUUAGAAUUUAACAAGACAACUCUAAAAGGUUUAAAACAUCCAUAACAUUGUCAUUACUUUAACAUUCACACUGAUAAAGUGAUACAUUUAAUACUUUCUAGCAUUAAUAAACAGUGUAAAAAUAUAUAGCAUAUAUAUAUAUAUAAAUUUGUUUCCUUUUCCUGAAAAAAACUAAUACAAACUAGUAGUAUAUGAUCCCCCCUUCAAGUUUCUUUUACUUAUUUUAAAGAUUGAAUAGUAGUAGUUUUAAAUUAACAGAAACAAAGAUAUGGAAAUAGAGAAUCACUGUUGUGCUCCCCCAUAACCUCUUGUCAUGGUUACUAAGCAUAUUAACCCCUUGGUAAUGAUGGUUCUGUUUUUGUUAACACCAGUUAAAAUUUUGGCACUGACUGCAGUGGGGAUAAGAUUUUGCCCAGUAUGCUUUGCACUGGAUGGUGCCUGGCCCCCUUCAUCAAGUGGUUAAAAAAUCUUUGCUUAGGAUAUGUCUAUCUAUUAUAGUUAAGAUUAAGCAAUGCUAUGCUCAAGUUCAUUCGCAAUAAAGACCAAAAAAAAAAAAAAGGUUUCAGUGUUAAAUUAGUGAUGAAAAAAGUAAACUUGUAAGGUUAAAUGAUCAUGUAAAAUUUUUACCAUGUUGAAAAUUUCACAGUGAACACAGUAGGCUAAUACAGCUGAAUGUUAAUGUUUGCAAUGCCUGCAGUUAUAAAUAUUGCAGGUAAUUAUUAGCACACAGCAGCUUCCUGGUUGAUGAAAGACAAAUGAAAAUAGGAACAAGAAAUAGAAAAAUUCACUGAAAGUUUCUAUCAUACUGUACAGUGACCCAAGGAAGACUAUGUCAAGACCUAUCUCUGUAUCACAACUAUUUAAUGAUUAAAUUUUUAUUAGUGCUCUAGGUAAUCAAGGACAAAACAGUUUUGCCUCUACACUUUAUGAUCAGGUCCAGAAAGCAUGUACAUCCAUAUUUGUGCAAGCAAAGAAUCAAAACAUCUAAACCAAAUUAGAAAUAGAUGUUGGAAUAGCAUGGACAGAUAAACAAGCUAGCAAAGGAAUAAAGCAUAAUGUGGAUAAAUAAAUGGUUCAUGACUGAAUAAAUCCAACCUCAAACAUUCAAAAAUUAUACUUCUAUAUAAAUAUAUAUUUCUCCUUUAAUAUUUAAAUCUGUGAAACAUAAAACCUUUGCUAAAACUUGAAUAAACUUAUCCAACAUUGAUGAUUUCUCUGCUUUACAGAAUGUAAGACAAAUUACUUUGCAUUAUAAGCAUUAUACAAAACGUUUUCUCUGCUGCAGUAGUUUGCCAAAGCUGCUAUAUUCUGAACUCAGCGCAAAGAUAAACAAAAACACACUUCUGUUGCAUCCUGUAACUUGUUUUGUCUAUAACCUUACCAUUUCAUACACUACAGCGCUAACAAAAGCAGUUUGCCAACAGGAUUUUAUACAGAACAUCAGAGACUGUAGGUUAACUGAUGUUACAGAAAGCCUUUGUAAAAAGCUAGUAUAUAUUUAGCAUGAAUAUUACAGACAUACAGCAUUUCAGUUGCAUUAAUAUAACCUUAUUUAACAGAGCCCAGGCUGCAUUAUUUCACAUUAUUUAACUAUUUUGUUUAAAAAAAAAAAAUCAUUUGAGCAAAUGCAAGCAUACAGAAAUUCAUCUGAUGUAAACUAGAUCUUAAAAUAAUUCACCAUUGUGGGGAUACAGAUUGCCACCUUUUUUCUUAUUUUGUUGCUCAUUGAUAAUAUAGCUCCUGAUCAAAGGAUGAAGGAUCAAGAUGGAUGAAGAAUGAGUGUACUUCUAGGGAUACAUUUUUAAUUAACUUGAAUGUAAUUUUAUUUGUGUUCAUGAUAUGUUCUGAAAAAUGGGCCAAGUAGUAGAAAAAUCUUGAAUAAAGGUAACUGAAGGUGGGUAAAUUACCAUGAACUUUAUCUUUAAGACCUUCAGAAAUGCUUACAACAAAACUCACUUCAUACAGUGCCAUAAGCUUUACAGUAACAAAAAGAGAUGCUGUAUAACCAUAUUUGAAAAUUGAUUCAUUGGCUAUUUACCUGCAACGAUUUGAAUAUGGUAGGUGCUUAACAUUUUUCCAAAUCAGGUUAGUCACUUGGGCAUUUCAAUGUCAAUUUACAAAUCUAAGGUAUUAAAAGGAAAAAAGCCUCUUCUGUAGUCUUGCCACUCAUAAAUAUGUCCCAAAGUAGUGCAUGUAUGCACACACAUGUGCAUGAUUAUGAAAGAGAAUUUAUUUACAAACAAAAAUAAUUUCAGACUACCAGUAUUUCAAAUGCCUGUCAAGAAUACCUAGUAAAUAGGCUGGGGUUUUUUUCUUUUAUUUAUUAUGAGGCUCGCUGUUGCCAAAGAUUACCUUGAGUUGAUGAUCAAUUAGUUUGAAUGAAACAAGACAACUCAAAUCUUUUCUGACAACAGAGUUGUAUCUUAAACUUGUUUUAAAGUCCACCUUUUCUAUAUGUAUUUUUAAAAGCAUGAAAAAAUAUCAAUAUAUUACAGUUAUUUCUCCCUGCAAAAACAAGUUACUUGGACAAUUACGAAGUAAAGCUUCUAUCUGCAUAUUCUUUAGCUUCCUGAAGCACCAUUCUUAGCUGGGACAUCUUUCAAAGCAUUGUUUUUGAGUUUAAUGGACAAGCAUUAAUGCAACUAAAGGUCUCUCACUAGUUUUAGGAUUCUCAAGACUUAAAAAGAACAUCCCGGUCCAUCAUUCCUACCUUAUAUUAGGUAAGCCAAAUGGGCAUUUGGGGUUGCACGGAAUAAGUAACUGAACAGCUAAACACUAUUUUAUGGGCAAAUACUCCAAAUACAGCAGUCAAAUACAGGAGGUAUACAUGUAUCGAGUUGAGGCACUCCAGACUGUGAGAAUUUCACACAAGUUUGAGAUCUGUCAUUAUUCUUCAGGUAUUUAAUUUUAUAAAAGUCUAUGUAAGACUCAAGUCCACGGGCUUGUAUAACAGUCGUGUUUCCUGUUCCGACUUCAAUACACCAUGACUUUAUACCUACUGAUGAUGAACAACUGCAUGUAUACAUAGUGAGUGCCAACUUGCUUCACAAAGCUGGGGCAAAGGAAAACAUAGGGCCCAUGCAAGGCAUAAUUUUAAAUGGUAUUUUGAGAGCACUCAGGGGAAAUCUUGCUUUCAUUCUCACUCCUACUUCCUCACUAUGGAGAAACACAUCUUGUCACAUCAUGUCUAUGUUAGAAUCGCUGAAAAGGGACUUCCCCUAGAAAUAGGGACAGGGUAAACUUGUAAAAACAUAAAAGCCUCCUUAGAUCUUUACCUUCAUGCUAUGGAGGGAGAAUGGCAGUGUCAUCAACUGGCCAAGCUGAACAGCACUGGCUGCAGGACUAGAGUUUGGCCCUAGUUAAGAUCUGAGGUUUGGAUCAACAUCUAUAUGGUUUAAUUACUUAGCUGGAUCCAAAGAGUAUGUGCACACACAAACCAACCUGUACAAGUCUUGCGUAUUACACUACUUAUUACCAACUAAUAGACGAACCAAGACCAUAAUAGUCACACUACAAACAAUGUACACAAAGGUGCAGUUAUUUUGGCACACACACUAACAGUCAGUUAAGAAGACACGUACUAGUGCAACACAUUAUAUUUGCUCUGUCAUGAAGGUAAAAGGUUUGUUUCUUGGCCAGUGCAAACAGAAUUCUCAUUCAUGGAUGACAGGAACAUGCCCGCAGAAUACAUGCAUCACUGAAAGGCAGGGUUAUGUUUUGAAUAUCAUACAUGCAGGCACAAAGAAUUAAAAUAUAUUUUAUAACUAUGUCAAGCCUUAAGGAAAAAAACCUAUCGAUUACAAGUAUAGUUUUGGUUUUGGAGAAAGAUAUAUAAGGAUUUUCUCUACAGAUGGUUACAGAUGCACAGAUACCUCACAGAUAGGUUACAGAUACCUAUCACUUGCAAGCCAAACCCAUAGCAGUCAUUUGCCUUUUAGUUCUGGCUAGUUUCAGAUACCAUAAAAAAUAUUACCUGAGCCAACAGAGAGAAAAUAUGGGUGGCUGAAAUGGUAAUUCAUGAACAAAGCUUUUUAUAAUGACAAAAAGUUGUCAGAAAAAUAUUUAAUUUAGGUAAGGUCAGUAAAAUAUAUGGAAAAUAUCAUACUGCAAUCCAAAAUAUCUUUGAGAGACAAUCUCUAUGCUGAUGAAAAACACAAGUUGUGACAUGUGAGUACUUCUGAAAUCUCCCUUUCCUUCCCUAAAGUGAAAAGGAGACAACGAAUACUGUAGGUCUAAAAAAACCCCCAGAGUGGCUAGAUCUUGGCCACUGUCAAAUGUUCAAAUAUUUGGUUACAAGUAAUGAUAACUGUUCACAAAAGACUGCUGAAACAGUAUGUUUUUUAAUGCCUGCUUCUUUUGUGAUAGCUUUGAUAGAGACAAAAAGCAGGACAAUAGUUUUGUUUCUGAUAUUUCCAUAUUGACAAGUAUGUUGCAAAACUCUCAACAAGUAACUAAAGCACAUGGAGUGACUAGAGGGAAUUAGUAAGCAAGCACUAAUAUGAAAAUCCUAAGAAAAAUUUAAAUUCUGCAUCCUCAGUGAGGAUUUUUCCUCACUGAGGAUUUUUAUUUCUUGUCCUCAAUCUUCCAAAGGCUUUGAUGGUCAGAUUAAUCCUCAAGUGGAGAUACAGGUACGAUUAUGUACUGCCAUAGUAUUUAAGGGUUUGAUUUUAAAUGAACAGUAUCAUUUGAAUUUGUUCUUUAAGGCAGUUAUUGCUGAAACAUGAAAGCAAAGAUAAUUAGGAAGGGUUCUACAGAAGAUGUCGUGUAGAAGAGUGCUACAUAGUAUAAGAUGCUGGUAAUCAGACAAGAAAGUCAGAUGUAAUGAGUUGAGAUGCCAAAAAAAAAAAAGGAGAUGAGUGUAAACCUUAUUAGGUGCCCAUGUCUUUACUUCAGACACGAUAUUUAGUUAGUCUGGAGUAUGGUGCACAGGAAGAGCAUAUGCUCUACAAUAGUUCAGCUUGAAAAUAGGUCACCUCCUGAGCUAUCCCUUCCCCUUGUCAUUGAGGCAUCAGCUGUACUUGCUGUCCUGAAAGUUGAGUGAAUGGCAGAUGAACUAGAAAACAUACUUUGCCUCAUUUCCAAGCAGGCCUAGAACUUAACGGCUAACAUUCAAGCUAGUAUUUAGGUUUCCAAUUUGCUGCAGAUCUCAGUGCAAAAGUAACAGAUGAAGUAGCUGACUGAACCCCUCAUACACAGCUGCAUGUGGUUCUUUUAUUCACAGCCUUUAUCUUCCACACCAACUGUAGUAAAAUGGAAAAAAAUCUUUCCAAAGUACUUUUCAGCCACAACUUCUAUUUGUCAGUGUCAUAUUAGACCGACCUCUUUUCAUGCAUCUAUUUGAUUGAAUUUUAAAACUAACUGUAGAAAUGAAGAAGAAAUAAAGUGUGUUCCUCAAAAUGAAAUACUGCUAUCUGAAGCAUCUUCUCAGGUCCUGACCCAAAGCUUCGACACAACUGAAAGCAUUUCAAAAAACUCUGCAUCAGGUCCAUACGUAGUGCUUUAGUUCAUGGUAGGGAUUUUAUACUAUACAAAUAAUGCCAAGUAAACUCUGGCAGAACCCUAGCUAGUUCUAUUGGCCUCUUCUAAACAAACAGUAGCUCAAUUUCUAGUCAGUGUCAGCUUGGAUCUGUCCUCGCUCUCAAUCCUUUGCAUGCCUUUUAUCUCAUGAGUGCACUGGUCUCUCUCACACUAUGAACUAGCAACUUAAAACCUAAUUAGACUUUAAAACCUUCCCAGUAAAUCAUGCCUAUGUAGCAACAGUCUGGCAUUACUGACACUCAGCAUUUGUAUACUUGAGAAAGCCUGUUGCUUUCCUGAGCUUGUGCAGCUCAGGUUAAGUGUCACCUGACGUGCCACACAAGGCAGCUAGCUAGCAACAAACAGCAUGUUGAAAGGGCUCUGCAGUAGACUGGACUUCACCAUUCAGGCUGGGUCCAGAUUUUUUCAGUUAUCAGUGAGUUAUGAGUCAUGUCUUCUAGUCAAUGGGAAGAACAGGGACAGUGGUUUUGCCUGUAACUUAGCCAAAGGAUUUAUCAAAGGUCAGAGGCUUAGCCUUUUUAUUCAUAAAACCUAGGACUAAUCUGGAGCCUUCUUCAGGUGCGCAGGCACCAGUGAUGUGGAAGAAGGUUCUCUAUAUUUAGGCAGUUCACUACCAUGCUAGAAUAAUUUGUUGAUAUCACAGCAUGCAAUCUUCUGUCUCAGAGUGUGACAGGUCACCAGUGCAACACAGGAGUUGAUAACCCUUCAUUCCACGGAAAUUUAUCAAGAACAGUGGGUAACUCUAGGAAAGGCUUCACAAAGCUGGAUGCUUCUCAUCCUGAGCAUCCUUACAUACAUAAAAAAAUCUUUCCAGGUAACCAGAGCCAACUAUGGGAAAGCUAUUUAAAUCUUUACAAGAACAUGUGCUGAGUUUUUGGCAAGCUUCCCUCCCUCUUCGAAACAAAACCCAAAGUAAGUUAUAAACAAACAAAAACAAUCUCCAAGUUCACAAGGAAGUCCUUGCC
Long non-coding RNA from Strigops habroptila (Kakapo), 6750 nucleotides. NCBI's taxonomy places the organism in Eukaryota, Metazoa, Chordata, Aves, Psittaciformes, Psittacidae. The record is from Ensembl.